Molecule: non-coding RNA, 84 nt
Organism: Kockovaella imperatae
Lineage: Eukaryota; Fungi; Basidiomycota; Tremellomycetes; Tremellales; Cuniculitremaceae
Source: the annotation of a RefSeq genome assembly
GGUCCAUUGGCCCAGCGGUACGGCGUACCUUUCCUAUCUUUUCGAAGGAGGGUAAGAUCUGGGGUUCGAUCCCCCAAUGGACUU